This 339-nucleotide ribosomal RNA is filed under the name Triticum aestivum (bread wheat). RNAcentral describes it as "partial small subunit ribosomal RNA". Lineage: Eukaryota; Viridiplantae; Streptophyta; Magnoliopsida; Poales; Poaceae. The record is from RNAcentral.
AUGAUAGACCUCAACACCGAUCAGAGGCUUGACCAACGGAAAUAUAAUGGACCGGUGUCAUCUGAGGUCGCUGCAAUCUGGGUCGAGGGCACUGACCUAGCGAAAAGGUUUGAUCGUAGGAUUACACUUUGCGGUAACAACAACCAGAGGCACAGUAUACAUGUGACUGAUGGCUCAUAUGACCCGUUGUCUUAUCCACUCUUCUACCCAAGGGGGGAGCUCGGUUGGCAUCUGAAGCUACCUAAACGGAAUGUCCCUUGGGAGGUUGUACAACAACCAAGAGGGGGCGAUGAUGAUAUGGAUGCAGGUAUGCUUUUUGCGUAUUCUGUCAUUCUGAUA